UGCAACUUAGUUUAUAUAGAAUAAUUAAUUUGCAAUUAAUUGGAGAAUAGUAUUCAGUAGCAG
RNAcentral lists this transfer RNA (63 nucleotides) under Erpobdella octoculata. Its description in RNAcentral is "tRNA-Ala". Lineage: Eukaryota; Metazoa; Annelida; Clitellata; Hirudinida; Erpobdellidae. The record is from RNAcentral.